AGAGCUCUGGACUCCUCCCUUUCCUGCCAGAUGCUGGCAACCAAGCUACCUUGCCCUUUGAGCUCUGAACAAUCUGCAGGAGAGAGUCAAGCUUUCUGGGUAGAUCGACACCAAGACAGCACAUAGAUUGCUGCAGCACGGUCAAUGUGUAGUAUCCCUGCAGCUAUGAAUCCUUGCAGCAGAUAAGCCCAGCCACCCUUCCUUUCUGAAAAAAAUAGCAAAGUAAUCAGGACAGAGGGGAUGACUACACUGACAAAUAAUAUGGGAAAUGCUCCAAGAUCAAGAUGAUCAGAUUCGUAUUGUUUUUCUGGUGUACAAGCAGAAACACUAACCAAAUGCAACGGAAGCUGGUGGACACUGUCAGGCUUCAUCCUGCCUAAUUCUGUGCUGGCCUGGGCAAACGAAUGACACACAGCCCAGCAUCCAAGUCUGCAUGUUGAUAAAGGAGAUAAAGCACAGCUGGUAAGUGCAGUACAGAGAGAGGAGAGGAGAGAGAACUGUUCUAGCUGGUUGAGGACAGUGGCUCCAUUCAUACAUUGUCUGUCUUCAACUCAAGGCUCCGGUUUCACCCUUGGACUUCUACAAAAGUCGUUCUGAAUCUGCUCCAGCUGGAAGAAGAAGAAGAACCAGUGUCUAUAAAACUGAUCUGAGAGCACAUUGCUCCCAUUUGGGACAGGGUGAGGCACGUAGGAGUCAGGUUGUCUGCCUCUCUUUCUUUGCCUGGAGAAUGAGCUGAAAGCAUUCUCAUGGGAUGGGAAGCGAUGCCCCCUUCACCACACACUUCCUUACAAGAAAGGGCUCAGGGGUGGGGUGGGGGGGAUGAAUGUGUCACAUGGAACAUCCUUCACAGUUCAUUUUAA
Molecule: non-coding RNA, 860 nt
Organism: Pogona vitticeps (central bearded dragon)
Lineage: Eukaryota; Metazoa; Chordata; Lepidosauria; Squamata; Agamidae
Source: RefSeq, a predicted model, not a curated record